This 254-nucleotide ribosomal RNA is filed under the name uncultured bacterium. RNAcentral describes it as "partial 16S ribosomal RNA". It matches the Rfam family "Bacterial small subunit ribosomal RNA", at positions 524 to 776 of the family's 1533-position model. The record is from RNAcentral.
GACAGAGGUGCCAAGCGUUAGGCGGAAUCACUGGGCUUAAAGCGUGUGUAGGCGGAUCGUUAAGUACCUUGUGAAAUCCCACGGCUCAACCGUGGAACUGCUGGGUAUACUGGCGGCUCUUGAGCCACCUAGGGGCAACUGGAACAAGCGGUGGAGCGGUGAAAUGCGUAGAUAUCGUCAGGAACGCCAAUGGUGAAGACAGGUAACUGGGCUAGUUCUGACACUGAGGCACGAAAGCGUGGGGAGCGAACGGG